AAGGUGUGAAAAUUGCACCAUCGGUAAAGAUUGAAAUUCUGAGCAUUUUUGGAUAGGGACCCCAAAAUUUCCGGCCCAGGUGCUCCCCUGACCCCCCUUCAAAGUUUUCGAUGUAGAGUUGGCGAACUUUGGCCAGCACUACAACACCUAUAAUGGACUCAGACAUCAAAAGUGUACUUAUAUCGCAAAGCUGUGGCCCUCAGCUUUCAAAUGAUACCAAACACUCCACCUUUUGAUAAAAAAUGUAAGACCUAUGAUGUGAGAUAUGUGGUCCGACCCUAUUUCAAGCAAAUUUCGAAAUAUUUGGGAGGUAAGUGAAAAAGGCAA
Bradysia coprophila is the source of this 327-nucleotide long non-coding RNA. NCBI's taxonomy places the organism in Eukaryota, Metazoa, Arthropoda, Insecta, Diptera, Sciaridae. The record is from RefSeq and is a predicted model, not a curated record.